Molecule: long non-coding RNA, 634 nt
Organism: Jatropha curcas
Lineage: Eukaryota; Viridiplantae; Streptophyta; Magnoliopsida; Malpighiales; Euphorbiaceae
Source: RefSeq, a predicted model, not a curated record
ACUUGGGAAAGUCGAAUUAGACCAGAAAGCCCCUUCCUCGUUUUCCAUUACGUUACAUCGCUGCUCCUCCAACCUGUGUAAAUUCUCCUCCAUUUUUCGGCGACUAAGCGACCAAAAUCCAACCAGAGAAGCUGCAAACUCGACGGACUCGGCCUCCUCUCUUUGCUGUUGUCCUUUUUGUGCAAUCUGUGGCUUGUCCUUUGUUCGACAGUAGGGAGAAAGUAACGCAGCUUCAUAUUCGCCUCAUCUAGGCGAUUAACGGCGGUUUUCUCCGGUGGAGUAGAAUGGGCUUCAAGGUGAACAAUUAGGCCUUCCUAGUAGGUGUCUUCAAACAUCAUCAGCCUUUCAAGAUAAGUUUUGCUAUUGCUACAACCAUUGGUGAUGACCCCAUUGCAAUUGAUUUCACAAGAGUAGGAGAGGGUGAUGUAUGGGUGAAUGACCAAAGGAUUGGAGGUUAUUGACCAAGAAUGAGUCUCCAAAUAUCAAUGUAAUAGGACUGUACAUUUCAUAUUUGUUAGAUGUGAAUUUUGUAUUUAUUAGACAUAAAUUUUGUAUUUGCUUUUACUUUUUAUUUUUUUUGACAUUUUUGUAAUUUAUUAAGAUAUAAAAUAUAUUUAUAUUUAUAAAUAUAUUU